RNAcentral lists this ribosomal RNA (463 nucleotides) under uncultured bacterium. Its description in RNAcentral is "partial 16S ribosomal RNA". It matches the Rfam family "Bacterial small subunit ribosomal RNA", at positions 28 to 505 of the family's 1533-position model. The record is from RNAcentral.
GACGAACGCUGGCGGCGUGCUUAACACAUGCAAGUCGAACGGAAAGGCCCCCUUGUGGGGUACUCGAGUGGCGAACGGGUGAGUAACACGUGAGUAACCUACCCUUGACUUUGGGAUAACUUCAGGAAACUGGGGCUAAUACCGGAUAGGAGCUCCUGCUGCAUGGUGGGGGUUGGAAAGUUUCGGCGGUUGGGGAUGGACUCGCGGCUUAUCAGCUUGUUGGUGGGGUAGUGGCUCACCAAGGCUUUGACGGGUAGCCGGCCUGAGAGGGUGACCGGCCACAUUGGGACUGAGAUACGGCCCAGACUCCUACGGGAGGCAGCAGUGGGGAAUAUUGCACAAUGGGCGGAAGCCUGAUGCAGCAACGCCGCGUGCGGGAUGACGGCCUUCGGGUUGUAAACCGCUUUCGCCUGUGACGAAGCGUGAGUGACGGUAAUGGGUAAAGAAGCACCGGCUAACUACG